Long non-coding RNA from Triticum dicoccoides, 2401 nucleotides. RefSeq lists it as uncharacterized. The transcript is spliced from 8 exons. The record is from RefSeq and is a predicted model, not a curated record. Lineage: Eukaryota; Viridiplantae; Streptophyta; Magnoliopsida; Poales; Poaceae.
CGGACGCUUCGAGCUAGUACUACCAUUAUUCCACUGAGCUGAGCUUCGUGAGAGAGAGGAUUCGAGAAAGUGAGGUCCCCCGUCCGGCAGUCCAGGCUCGUGGUCGUGGCCAGCGACAAAGGGAGCAGCCGCUCCUGCCGGUGCUGCCGCUGCCCGACUCCGGCGCGCCCAAGCCCCGACCAAGGCUGGAGUAGCUGCUCUGGCAUGCCGCCGUUCCCCUCCUCGACCGACCAGAUCCGUUGGAGAAGGUGGGGACUUGCAGAGCGCGCGGCCGGCUGGGUGCAGCGCUGCUUCGCCGGGAUGCCGCACGAGGUCGUGCAGGCGCACAUCAAGAUGGGAGGCCGAUGCACACUCGUCGGACAGAGAUUCAAGGCAUAACAACAAACCUAUGGAUGAUGAAGUCGCGGGAGCUCCUUCCAUGCCGAAGAACACCGUAGAUGCUGGUCCACCUGAGAGGGCAAUUCUCUAUCGAUCCUGGUCUAUUCUCGUGUGAUCCACAAUGGAGUGGAUAGAUAGGAGAAAGGAUGUUGGAGAUUUUGGCGGCAGUGUGUUGAUACGCGGGAGAAAGAAAGACAAUUUUGCUGAUUUUCUGUAAUUAGAGAUAUACCAUCUGGUUGUUUGGGUGAUGGGUCCACCAGGCCACGUGUUGGCCGCUGGUUGGCCCUGCACGAUAGUGCGUGCAGGGAUCCCAGCACGAGAGCCCGACCCAUCUCUGUCACUGAGAGGACCCGCAUUUGUUGAUUGUUUUUCUUUGAUGCGUCAAAUUUCCUAGUUAGAAAACUUUGUACUUUCUGAAAGUAGAAUUGCAAGCAAGCAAAAAUGGUAGUCCCUGUCUUUCAGUUCUAUAAACAUAUUAUUUCAUACACCAAAAGUAGUAUGACCCCCUACAUGUUUAAAUAGUACAAACAUUGUUAACAUCAUCUUUUGUCUAAAACCCACCGUAGCACCUUUCCUGGUCAUUAUUUAGUCUGGAAUUCUGUAUUUGCACCAUGUGAUGGUCCUACUUUAAAAAUGUUUUGGCCUCUAUCUGGUUAAAUGUUUGAAAAAUUGGAUCCUUUAUGUGAACCAGCAUGAUUCUCUCUAUUACUCGGCAAUAGCGUGUUAUUCACAUAAGUUCAAUUGUGUUUGAGAUAUGGAUAGUGGCCUGGUGCUACAUUAGAGUUUAGGGGACUAUCUGGGUCCAAACUGUUUGUAGCAUAGUGGUCAGCAUGCUAUUGUUCUAGUCAGGAUCCCUGAUGUGAUUCCCUCAGGCAGGUACCCCAAUGAUUCCAUUGUUGAUGGCGAUCAAGCAGAUUACCUACCUGAUAAGAUUCUGCCCAACUAAGGGAGAAGUGGAGCUGCUCUAACCUCUAAGCUUAGUUUUGCCAGUGAUACCAUGGAUGCCAGAUGGACUUGAACCAUGUGAACGAUGUAGUCCGUGUCUACGCCCAUGUGGCUGGUGCCUCGGUUCUGGUAUCCCGAUGAUUCCAUCAUUGAAGGUGAUCAAGUAGAUUACCUACCUGAUAAGGUUCUAGCCCACCAAGGGAGAACUGGAGCUGCUCUGAACUCAAAGAUUUUACAGUCUACAAGGAGUAUGUAGGACACUUCCAAUAGGUCAUCUUGGUGAUCUAGGGGGGAGAAGCUACAACAUAGCAAGCCUUCAACCAUGGUCAUGAUGGCCUGGCAGCAGUACAAUAACAUGUAGCCUUGUUUGUCGUGUGACGACGGCAAAGGUCUGCUUGUAUGAAAUGUGAUGAUUUUUCGUCUACGGGCGAAGUUGUAUUAUUUCCAACCCUGCAACGGUUCCAGAAGAUAGCAAAUUGGCAAUGUUUGAACUGGAGCUUGGAUGCUUAUGCCCUACUGUAGCCAAGCUCUCCAUUCACAUGCACCCUCCAUAGACGACAUCAGCAAAGAGUACCACCGGGUCGCAAGCAACACCAUCCACCCUGCACAAGGUCGCUCCCACCCAAGACGCCUUUCUUUCUUCCUUCAAGUUAUUGAUGCUGCUAUGUUUGUAGACACUUGGUACAAUCCACUUGCUGUUCACAGUGGACUACUUGCUAGCUUUUGCCUAGUUACUCAUGUUUGACAUACAUAGUCUCUCUGUUCAUCAAAUGCAAAUGGUCGCUGCUUCGCUAGUGUAUGCAAUUUUCCGCGAUGAUAUGUGUUUUCAUGACUAGAUUUUGUAUGGUGGAAGUUUAGUAGGUUCCAUGGUGUAGAGUGGCCUCUGCCAUGUCUUGUAUUGGAACUCCAAUACCAAGUAGACCUUGGGAAGGGCCCUUUGUGGUCAGCAAGAAUCUGCACAAUAGAUCAUACUACCUCAUUGACGUUCGAGAGCACAAAGACUCACGCAGUUCUGAGGAGGAGACCCGGCGGCUGUGGAACAUAGCUCUCGUUCGGCCUUACUACGCCUGAGCUAUAG